Heterocephalus glaber (naked mole-rat) is the source of this 2064-nucleotide long non-coding RNA. The record is from Ensembl. NCBI's taxonomy places the organism in Eukaryota, Metazoa, Chordata, Mammalia, Rodentia, Bathyergidae.
CUGCUGGCUGCUUCUGUGACUUCUCAGAACUGGCACAGUGCACAGUGUGACCGAUUGCUCCUGGUGUCCAUUGGCUUUAAUCGAGGUAUUUGGGGGGGAAAGGUGUCACUCCAAAGGGAAAUGAAGAUCACACACCUCAUCCUGAAUCUCAGAUGUGGCUUCUCUCUGGUUGUCACCAGACAGUGUCACUCAGCUUCUCGGUGGACAGCCUCAGACACCAAGUUUGGUUUCUGGGUUGAACAUAUAUGAAAGGAUGGCGUGAUGUUGUUGCCAAAGCUGAGUCUCUGUGGCAGUGCUUGGCGGGGGUAGUUCUGGCACAAACACCCUGGAGGACCGGCCUUGACCUCUCACCUAAGUGGACCCUGCACUCACAGCCCCUGCCACCCAGCUGGUGCUCAGGACUUCACUGGAACAGAAUGGCUUCUAUGGCUGGUAUUUCAGAGUUCGCAAAGGACAUUAGUCACCACUAGGUGUCAUGAUGAGGCAAGUAAAAUUUGGGCUCAUAGCUAGAAAUCUUGCUUUUACUACACUCUUUGUCACGCAUGCAAAUAUUCAGUGUCUCAGCAGGCACCUGUUGAGGGUCUGCGCGUGCCAAGCACAUGCACAAGGCGCUGGGGUCUUGUCCUGGCCGAGCUACCAGGCCUGGUGAGGAGAAAGUGGCAGUGGGUGUUGAGACAGGCAGACUAUAAAGACACGGGAUAGAGGGACACCUGGUCAUGCCAGAGGAGACAACCAUGGCUUCCUGAGAGAGGCACCUUCUAAGGUGAGCGUGAAGGUUAAGAAGAGGAAAGAAAUUCAGUUCAUAUUCUCUCCGAGGGAAUUCAAGACAGGAGGACAGCCUGGAACCUGGUCAGAAUUUAUUGUUUGUUGAAGACUGAGCUUUAAAAUAAACAGCGAGUUAGAACUUUUGCAAAAGGGAAGGGGACCAAGAGAUGAAGGGAGUGGGGAGAGAAAGAAAGAGAAGGGAAAUGAAAAAGAAUUAAGAUGUGUAAUGCACAGGUACCAACUCUCCACAAUGUGAUCAUUCUGUGCUGCAAAUAUGUACUCAUAAAAAUAAAAAUGUAAAACAAAUGAAGAGCCAAAGAAUAAAAAACCCACAUGGCAAAAAAAUAAAAAUAAAUAAAUUAUCAAAAAGCUUUGGGAGACAUUUUUUGUCUUUUAAAGAAUUCUUAUUCUUUACCAGCUUUAUUGAUUUGUAACUAUUCUUGGAUAUUAAGGAUACUAGCACUCUGUCAUGUUUAUUCUUACUUUUCUUCAGUUUGCCUUUGCUUUGAACUUAUCUUUGUUUUGUUUUAUUUUUGUAAGUUUCUUUGCUUGCCUAAGCUUCUUUUAUUUUUAUCUAUAGUUGUACAAUAUGAAUGCUAACCUUGGCACCUACAGCAGUUCAAAGUUUAGAUUCCUGGGUUUUCCUAAUAUCACUGAGAAUACAGAGAAGUUGACCUCCUUGGGCCCUGAGCCUGAGGAAAUGGUGGGUUUGAAGCAGCCCUGAGGUGGGCUGCUCAGGGAGUGCCCUGGAGGUCAGUGCUGGGCUAUACCACCAUCCUGGACAGGAGCUAAUACCAGGUAGCCUUUUGUGGGGAUCACAGCAAAGACACUGGAGGUCGUAAAGUGAUGGUCAGGCCUGGCCAGGGCAGGGAUGGACACUCUGAUACAUAGAAGCUGAGGGUGGCUUGGUGGCGUGGAGGGCCUGGGGCUCGAUCCUCCCAUGCUAAUAGGAGAGGGGGGCCCCAGGAUAUUCCACCUCACUCCUGGUGCACCUCAAGCACCCAAGGCAGCCCUUGUCAAGGAGCCCUGCGUAUCUGGGUUCCUUAGGGGAGACUCCACUACUUUCCCCAACUGGAAGCUUGUUGGUAGCUUUUUUAAUAUGGUAAAAUAUACAUGACCUAGAAUCUAACAUUGUAGCCUUUUAAAAUAAUUCCUAUCAUCACCACUGCCCAUCUCCAGAGCUGUCUCAUCUUCCCCAGCAGCAACUCACUCAGUCCCCAUUAGACACAAACUCCCCAUCCUCCCUCUCCCAGCUCUGACAACCACCACUGCACUUCCUGUCUCUGUGGAUUUGAUGAC